RNAcentral lists this ribosomal RNA (417 nucleotides) under uncultured bacterium. Its description in RNAcentral is "bacterial SSU rRNA". It matches the Rfam family "Bacterial small subunit ribosomal RNA", at positions 355 to 775 of the family's 1533-position model. The record is from RNAcentral.
UCGAGAAUCUUCGGCAAUGGGCGCAAGCCUGACCGAGCGACGCCGCGUGGAGGACGAAGGCCUUCGGGUUGUAAACUCCUGUCGAGGGGGAGGAAGGCCGGGUGACCGGCUUGACCGAUCCCUGGAGGAAGCACGGGCUAAGUUCGUGCCAGCAGCCGCGGUAAGACGAACCGUGCGAACGUUAUUCGGAAUCACUGGGCUUAAAGGGCGCGUAGACGGGUUGGCGCAUCGGUCGCUGAAAUCCCCCGGCUCAACCGGGGAACGGGCGCCGAGAUGGCCGUCCUCGAGUGGAGGAGAGGGACCUGGAACUGCCGGUGGAGCGGUGAAAUGCGUUGAGAUCGGCAGGAACUCCGAUGGCGAAAGCAAGGUCCUGGACUCCCACUGACGUUGAGGCGCGAAAGCCAGGGUAGCGAACGG